This 507-nucleotide ribosomal RNA is filed under the name uncultured bacterium. RNAcentral describes it as "bacterial SSU rRNA". It matches the Rfam family "Bacterial small subunit ribosomal RNA", at positions 32 to 518 of the family's 1533-position model. The record is from RNAcentral.
AACGCUGGCGGCGUGCUUAACACGAUGCAAGUCGAACGAAGCACCCUCAUCCGUGAAGGGAGUAGCUUGCUACGAACGGACGACACCCGAGGGUGACUGAGUGGCGGACGGGUGAGUAACGCGUGGGCAACCUGCCCCAUAGAGGGGGACAACAGUUAGAAAUGACUGCUAAUACCGCAUAGUAAAGUAGAUCCGCAUGCUUCUGCUUUGAAAGCUUUUGCGCUAUGGGAUGGGCCCGCGUUUGAUUAGCUAGUUGGUGAGGUAACGGCCCACCAAGGCGACGAUCAAUAGCCGGCUUGAGAGAGUGAACGGCCACAUUGGGACUGAGACACGGCCCAAACUCCUACGGGAGGCAGCAGUGGGGAAUAUUGCACAAUGGGGGAAACCCUGAUGCAGCGAACCGCCGCGUGAGUGAAGAAGUAUUUCGGUAUGUAAAGCUCUAUCAGCAAGAAAGAUAAUGACGGUACCUGACUAAGAAGCCCCGGCUAACUACGUGCCAGCAGCAGC